AACAACAUUAGGAUCCAGUGAAUCUGUUUUCACGUUUCUUUUAAAUAAAGUUCCGUCACGUGACCCGGAAGUAAAAACAACUCGAGGCGCUAGCUAGCAUGCUAGCAGCGUUAGCUCGUGCUGAGAGGACGGCGGUGUUUCGUUGGUUCGUUCGUGAGGUUUUACAGAGAUGUAGCGAUACGUGGUUCGGUUCCGAACAAUCCUCUUUAGCUAAAGUGUCGUAAAUGAGUGAAGAAGUGUUGAACGUAAAGACAACGUGGCUGUGAUUGAGAGACUAGCAGAUGAUCGGAGCUGCUGCUGUUCAGAGGACUUUGGUGUUUGUUGGAGCUGCAGGAACCAUGUCUUCCCUUCAGUCUCUGAGAGAGUUGAUCAGCGAGCGACUAGCUGCUGCUGCUGAAGAAAUCUGCAGACUCUGUGAAGGAACCAUCGUCCAGUACGAGCAGGAGCUCUGUCGUCAGCGCAGACUGCUGGAUAUCUGCUGGAAACCACAGCUUCAGCUCCACCACAUAGUCCUCCCCCAGCAUUGGUUGACUGAAGAAGAUCUCUGCAACCAGCAGAGGAACUUCAGAGUGGACCAGGAGAAUCCAGAACCUCCACAGACUCCAGAAGAACUGCAGGAUCCAGAACCUUCUCUGAUUAAAGAGGAACCAGAGGAACUCUGCAUCAGUCAGGAUGAAGAGCAGCUGGAUCUGAAGCAGGAGACUGAAACCUGGAUGGAGAUUCCUACUUUGGAGGAACAUGUUGACAGUGAAGCAGAUGGAAACAGUCAGCAGAUCUUGAAUGGAGCUGAUGGUCAGGAUGAAGAAGGAAACCAACAUGAAGAAUCAACAUCAACUCCAGAUGAAGAGACAGAGCCACAGAACAGAGAUCAGAAGAAGAGAAGAGACAGAAGUCAUGUCCAAAGUGUGGCCAGCUCUCACAUGUCAGAAGUCCUCCCCCAGCAUUUGUUGAUAGAAGAGAAAGAUCUCUGCAACCAGGAGAGAAACUUCAGAGUGGAACAGAAUGAUCCAGAACCCAAGCAGACUAAAGAGGAAGAGGAGGAGCCAGAACUUCUGCAAAGAGAAGAGGAGCAGGAAGAACAAGAACCUCAACAGAUUGAAAAGGAACACGGAGAACCAAAUCCUCCACAGUUUAAAGUGGAGCAGGAGGAACCACAAACUCUACAGAUUAAGGAGAUUUAUACCUUGAUGGAGAUUCCUACUUUGGAGGAACAUGUUGACAGUGAAGCAGAUGGAAACAUUCUGCAGUGCUUGAAUGUAACUGAUAGUCAGGAUGAAGAAGGAAACCAACAUGAAGAAUCAACAUCAACUCCAGAUGAAGAGAAAGAGAAAAUGAACAGAGAUCAGAGGAAGAGAAGAGACAGAAGUCAUGUCCAAAGUGUGGCCAGCUCUCACAUGUCAGAAGGUCAGUGUGACUCUGAUGUCAGAAAAAAGUUCAAGAUAGCAACUUUGGUUAAGAGACACAAACAAUCCCCAAAAGAAAAGAGACUUCCCAUAUAAAUUCUGGUAAAG
RNAcentral lists this long non-coding RNA (1511 nucleotides) under Oryzias javanicus (javanese ricefish). RNAcentral's name for it is "lncRNA (ENSOJAG00000006298.1)". Lineage: Eukaryota; Metazoa; Chordata; Actinopteri; Beloniformes; Adrianichthyidae. The record is from RNAcentral.